Long non-coding RNA from Anguilla anguilla (European eel), 691 nucleotides. RefSeq lists it as uncharacterized. Lineage: Eukaryota; Metazoa; Chordata; Actinopteri; Anguilliformes; Anguillidae. The transcript has 3 exons. The record is from RefSeq and is a predicted model, not a curated record.
GCAAGUGUAUCACAAUUAUAUUUCGCAUUAAUUACUCUCAAAGCCUUUUUCACAACUUGCCAAUCGCCUUCUAAGGUUAAUGCGCCUGUUGACUCACGUUGAACACUGUAAUUUUUUCCGUCGUGUACCUUCGAUGCAAGUUAAUUCGUCAGAGGGUUUCAGCCUACCGCUGCAUAAUCUGAUGAAAGUUGUCAUUAAAACACAGCUUUCUGCUCCUCAUGUGUGAGAUAUGGCAUCCAUGAUGGGAGGUGAAUGCGAGGAUAACGUCCUAAUGUUCAGAGGUCAAGCAGCACACAUGCUGCAGAGGAAUGAAUCAUUGCUCUGUGACAGUGGUUAAUAUCAACCCAAGCUUCCUGGUGCCAGUAGUCAUUUUUCUUCAGAGGUGAAUGAGGAUGGCACGUUUCCUUUUAACAUCCCCCAAAACAAAUGCCCCCCUGGGUCACAAGGGGGACGGUGAAAGGUCUGACAUUUUAUUUGAUGGCACACUAUUCUCUACGCCCACGCUCCCCGAAGAAUAUAAAGACAUCACUGGAAAAUGUCAGGAACCUGUACUCAGCACCUCUUUAUCAAAGACACUUCCCAGGUGGCCUCCAAUUGCACUGCCGCAUUCGACGGGCAUUGGGAUUGCUGGUUCAGUGGAAGGAUUGAAGUCAGCGGAAUCAAUUCUCGGCACUCUGAUUUCCCAUGACGG